RNAcentral lists this small RNA (75 nucleotides) under Xanthomonas fragariae. Its description in RNAcentral is "sX9 sRNA". It matches the Rfam family "Xanthomonas sRNA sX9". Lineage: Bacteria; Pseudomonadati; Pseudomonadota; Gammaproteobacteria; Lysobacterales; Lysobacteraceae. The record is from RNAcentral.
AUGUACCACGCGUAUGCUCCGUUCCUCCGCGCCGUCCGCACCCACCUGACGACUGCGCGCUACGUUUUGUUAGCC